UACAGAGGUGGCAAGCGUUGUUCGGAAUUACUGGGCGUAAAGGGCGCGUAGGCGGUGUGUCAAGUCAGGCGUGAAAGCCCCGGGCUCAACCUGGGAACCGCGCUUGAGACUGGAGAACUAGAGUUCGGGAGAGGAUGGUGGAAUUCCCAGUGUAGAGGUGAAAUUCGUAGAUAUUGGGAAGAACACCGAUGGCGAAGGCAGCUAUCUGGACCGACACUGACGCUGAGGCGCGAAAGCGUGGGGAGCAAACAGG
This 253-nucleotide ribosomal RNA is filed under the name uncultured bacterium. RNAcentral describes it as "partial 16S ribosomal RNA". It matches the Rfam family "Bacterial small subunit ribosomal RNA", at positions 524 to 776 of the family's 1533-position model. The record is from RNAcentral.